GUCGCCGUAACAAUGCACGGACGUCGCGACCCGUUCGGUGUCGGUCCUACUCAUAGGAGACGUGUGAAAGUUCGUGAACGCGUGUCGGCUCGUCUGGCGCGCGUUCGCGAGUCCGCGUUUUUUUUUCUGGCCGACUCGCCGGACGGUAUGCGUAACGGUGGCCGCGGCGACCUUUCCAGCGUCGUCGUUCGGUACCGGUCCGCGACGAAUCUUCGGGCCUCUUUCCGACCCGUCUUGAAACACGGACCAAGGAGUCUAACGUGCGCGCGAGUCGCGGGGUGUCGAGUGGUUGGCGGUCGUCUUCGGGCGUUCGUCGGGCCACUCGUUACAAUACGAAACCCGUCUCGUUUUACGAAAGGCGCAAUGAAAGUGAAUUUAGGGGAAGAUGACGUUACCGAGUUCACGUUCCGCGCUCUCGAAGCGCGGCCGGUCGUCCGCAUUCCCAGGGCGUCCCAACGGCCCGGCGGCGUUGCGGACCGCCGUCUCUUCGGAGGCGGUGGUCGGGCGUCGUCGAACCGGGGCGCACCUAUAGCGUGCACGUUGGUACCCGAAAGAUGGUGAACUAUGCCCGGCCAGGAUGAAGUCAGGGGAAAC
This 594-nucleotide ribosomal RNA is filed under the name Paracoccus burnerae. RNAcentral's name for it is "eukaryotic LSU rRNA". It matches the Rfam family "Eukaryotic large subunit ribosomal RNA", at positions 476 to 862 of the family's 3401-position model. Lineage: Eukaryota; Metazoa; Arthropoda; Insecta; Hemiptera; Pseudococcidae. The record is from RNAcentral.